Ochotona princeps (American pika) is the source of this 824-nucleotide long non-coding RNA. RefSeq lists it as uncharacterized. The record is from RefSeq and is a predicted model, not a curated record. The transcript is spliced from 4 exons. NCBI's taxonomy places the organism in Eukaryota, Metazoa, Chordata, Mammalia, Lagomorpha, Ochotonidae.
UGGAAGGGCUGAUGUUAUUUUUUCAUUCCAUCGAAAUUUUUCAACAUGAGUGGUUUAUGAAUAAUUAAAUAUUAUAGAGGCAAAAACUCAAAUCAACCGGGCUUUGUGUUUAUUGUUUUAUUUGCAUUUAUGCAGAUAAAACCGUCCCAUCUGAGAGCCUAUUUGAGAAUUUAAUACUAUAUUUGUGAGCACUGAGGAAAUCAAUUAAUGGAAAUUAAAUGUUCGAAGUUUCACAGUCUGACAGAUGCAAUCUCAGGCUAACGUCACUGGGUGUCUGCACAGGCUUGAGGAGGAGAAAAUCCAAGCCCCUGAAUUGAAUUGCUACCAUAUAGCAAUUAGUUUAUUGAUUUAAUUAAGAAUGCCACCUUUUAAUUUUCAGGUCAUGAUUGUAACAUAUUCUGAUUGAAUAGAUGGAGACAAGGAAAUGAUAAAUCCAUGAGCGAUUCAUUUUUAGGCAACUCAAGGUGAAGAGGCGAGCACAGAGUUGGUGCAUACAGAAAUGGGAACUUAUCACUGAACCCAACCAAAGGAUGAAUGAUAUGUGUAAGUGACAAUAUAGGAUCCUGAGUAUAACAGCAAUUAAUAGCCACUGCCUCAAGACUACUGCAGCUUGGCAUUUAUUAUGCCAGUGCCUAACUGAAGCUUUAUUGGGGCUAAAAACAGUAGAAAGAGGAUUUCGAACUGCUGUUUCAUUCCCCAAAUGUCUACAAGUGCCUACAAGAUCUAGAACCCCCUCUGGGUUUCCAUGGACGAAUGGCAGAGACCAAGGAAGAAGAACAUCCACCGCUACCCCUAGAAUAAAUGUCAGCAGGAACUCCUGCUGG